This 254-nucleotide ribosomal RNA is filed under the name uncultured bacterium. RNAcentral describes it as "partial 16S ribosomal RNA". It matches the Rfam family "Bacterial small subunit ribosomal RNA", at positions 524 to 776 of the family's 1533-position model. The record is from RNAcentral.
UACGGAGGGGGCAAGCGUUGUUCGGAUUUACUGGGCGUAAAGGGUCCGUAGGUGGUUGUGUAAGUCUGGUGUGAAAUCUUCGCCGCUUAACGGGAAGAAGCCACUGGAAACUGCGCAACUUGAGUAUGGUAGAGGCAAGCGGAAUUCCUGGUGUAGCGGUGGAAUGUGUAGAUAUCAGGAAGAACAUCUGUGGCGAAGGCGGCUUGCUGGGCCAUCACUGACACUGAGGGACGAAAGCGUGGGGAGCAAACAGG